Molecule: ribosomal RNA, 253 nt
Filed under: uncultured bacterium
Lineage: Bacteria
Description: partial 16S ribosomal RNA
Rfam family: Bacterial small subunit ribosomal RNA
Source: RNAcentral
UACGUAGGGUGCGAGCGUUGUCCGGAAUUAUUGGGCGUAAAGAGCUCGUAGGCGGUUUGUCGCGUCUGCCGUGAAAGUCCGGGGCUCAACUCCGGAUCUGCGGUGGGUACGGGCAGACUAGAGUGAUGUAGGGGAGACUGGAAUUCCUGGUGUAGCGGUGAAAUGCGCAGAUAUCAGGAGGAACACCGAUGGCGAAGGCGGGUCUCUGGGCCGAUACUGACGCUGAGGAGCGAAAGCGUGGGGAGCAAACAGG